GUAAACAAACAUGCACAAAUGUGCAAAGGCUGAAAUUUUGACGACGAGAUUAAUGGGCUAACUAUACUUUGUAUAAAAUCAUAGAAAAGAAAUGGCGUCAGCUUUAUCAACGUCGUGCGACGCAGAAUUAAAUGAAUUGGUCACGUGUGGCGUCUGCUUGUGCGAAUUCGACACAGACAAUAGAAAACCAAAAUUUCUUCCAUGCUCACACACAAUCUGCCUGUCGUGUUUAAAGGAAAUCAACAGGAAUUACAUGGUUGCAUGUCCCUUCUGUCGGAACAUAUCUACCCAAAUACAUGUUGCCAAUCUUGCCAACAAUUCUUAUGCUCUCCAAAUGCUUAAACUAAAAGAGAAGAAGCAAGAAAACACAAUAAAAUCUUCCCCGUUGAAGGGACCUAGUUGGUGCUUCACAUGUGGAACGGUGACGAAAGAUACCUGCACAACACCUGAUCACUCCCUGGUCAAUUUGACAGCUGACACAAUCAAGAACAUGGAAGCCUUUAUUAGUCUCAAAGAAGAUUUGCAGACAAUGAAGAACGAAGGAGCAAACAAAUUGGCCAUGGCCAUUCACAAGCGACAAGAAAUCAAAGAACAUUUGGAUUUCUUAACGAAAUCCUUCAAAAGCACAAUGGAAGAAAUUGAUGAGCUCCAAGAUGAAAAUAAUCUCAUCUUGACUCAAUUGGUCUCUACUUUGGAAGGAAACGGACCGAAAUCACUUCCGGCAACUGGAGACACUAAACAAGAGAAUGAUGAUUUUUUCUUGUCAGGCCUAGAAUCUUUAAUGAACGAUUCGUUGAGCCCGGAUGACACGGCGGACGCACUUAAAGUCAAGUUGAACAAAUCCAUCGAAAUGUUUGAAGAACAGUUCCAGGAAGCCACAGCCAAGGCUUCCGAGUACGAGUUCCAGAACAAUACAAAAAUCAAAAUCAUUUUACUGGAUGAAAUGGAUCAACCAAUUCCGACGUUUCCGUUGCUCGAAGGUGGAUUCUGUUUGGCCAAAAAGAAAAAGUUGAACGCCAGCGUCCGGCAAGAUUUGAAUUUACUAUCACAUCUCGUCUUUUCGCUGUUGAGAAAACAAAAGAUUAGCACAAAAGCGGAGGCUUGCGCUGUUCCCUCCGCUUCUCAGGGCACUGAUCCUGUUGUAUUUGCCAAAUCCGCACUGGACAACACUAAAAGCGGAGUGAAUAAAGCCUUGUCUUUUUUCCUCGAUUCUGAAUCAUUUGCCUUUCCAUUCGACUCUCCUCUUACAUCCGGCCCUUCCGGUGAACUCAAUUCCGCGAUCCCGCUGCCGCUUUCCAAUAAAUUUAUCCUCGGCCAAUCCAUUUUCAUCUUCCGGCUGUUCCAGUCGGGUGUCUUGAAGGGCGAAAUCCACAUACAACCUGUUAUCACCUUUCAUCCGGAUUUCAUGAACAUUUUGGGCAUCAACUGUUUCAAAACUCCCAAACACUUUUGCAAUUCCAUCGAAAAGGGAAAGGGAAGCGCUAGUUUGCAACUGACGAUUCGAUUGGCUGCUGAGAAUAAUCGUGGUUAACCCAUAACUUCCCUUUUUCGACUUAUAAUCUUCAUUCCCGUAUUCACCGAGUUCUAUCAAAACUAAAUUAACAUGAGGAAGUAUGCCGGUUUUGAUUAGUGAACAUUUCAGAUUUGGAACCCCACCAAACAUCCUUUCCAUUGGCUUUCAGAACUCGAUCGAAUAUUUGAGAUUGAGACCUAAUCUACCACAUUACAGGAACUUAAUUGAUGACUGUAAAUUAAGAAUUCCGGAUUCCUAACUGAAACAUAUAAAAGCUAUUCAACGUGAGGUGGUGGAUAGGUAUUCCAUGAUCAUGGCUCGCCAGUGGACUACCGCUUUCGUCGUCCUUUUUGGACUGUUGGCUCUGGCAUCUUCCAGUCCAUUAUAUGAAGAAUACGAAUCAUUCGCCAAC
This is an RNA transcript of Daphnia pulicaria, 1925 nucleotides long. It is a transcript of the gene named tripartite motif-containing protein 2-like, with no coding region annotated. The transcript is spliced from 5 exons. The record is from RefSeq and is a predicted model, not a curated record. Lineage: Eukaryota; Metazoa; Arthropoda; Branchiopoda; Diplostraca; Daphniidae.